RNAcentral lists this non-coding RNA (167 nucleotides) under uncultured Mediterraneibacter sp. RNAcentral describes it as "Lysine riboswitch". It matches the Rfam family "Lysine riboswitch aptamer". Rfam says of the family: Riboswitches are metabolite binding domains within certain messenger RNAs that serve as precision sensors for their corresponding targets. The record is from RNAcentral. Lineage: Bacteria; Bacillati; Bacillota; Clostridia; Lachnospirales; Lachnospiraceae.
GUAGAUAGAGGUCGCAUUUUUCAUGAGUAAGAUGACGGAUGUAUCAGGAACAAAGGAACUCAUCAGAAAGGGAAAGAUGCCGAAAGGAUAGAGAAGCCUGAGACUUUACCCUUGGGCAUGGCGUUAAGAGCGGCAUGACUGUCAUCGCAGGAUGGAGAGCUAUCUGA